UACGUAGGCAGCAAACGUUGUUCGGAGUUACUGGGCGUAAAGAGUACGUAGGCGGUUUGCCAAGUUUGGUGUGAAAUCUCCUGGCUUAACUGGGAGGGUGCGCCGAAUACUGGCGAGCUUGAGUAUUGGAGAGGAAAGCGGAAUUCCUGGUGUAGCGGUGAAAUGCGUAGAUAUCAGGAGGAACACCGGUGGUGUAGACGGCUUUCUGGACAAUCACUGACGCUGAGGUACGAAAGCGUGGGUAGCAAACAGG
RNAcentral lists this ribosomal RNA (253 nucleotides) under uncultured bacterium. RNAcentral's name for it is "partial 16S ribosomal RNA". It matches the Rfam family "Bacterial small subunit ribosomal RNA", at positions 524 to 776 of the family's 1533-position model. The record is from RNAcentral. RNAcentral also lists the same sequence under 1 other name.